AAGUCGUAACAAGGUUUCCGUAGGUGAACCUGCGGAAGGAUCAUUAAAAAAUCUCUUUUAAUGAGCCGCAAGGCUCUAAUAUUUUGUGAACUUGUGUGUAGUAGUGUUUGUUUGUUUGUUGUUGUGGUAGGUAUGUGUACAGAUUUAUCAAUGUUGUGAUUCGUCACGACGAUAUUUGAUGUACACAUGAUAACAUGAUAAACAAUCAUAAUCAUCACUACUACAAACUUAUAAUAUAUAUGAUUUUGAUGUUGAGGAAAUAUUUAUUAUAUCAAUUAUAAUAUAUAUACAACUUUCAACAGUGGAUCUCUCGGCUCUU
This 319-nucleotide unclassified non-coding RNA is filed under the name fungal sp. Its description in RNAcentral is "partial internal transcribed spacer region". The stretch from base 1 to 46 matches the Rfam family "Eukaryotic small subunit ribosomal RNA", at positions 1786 to 1831 of the family's 1831-position model. The record is from RNAcentral. Lineage: Eukaryota; Fungi.